CACGUAGGCGGUAUUGCAAGUCGGAUGUGAAAUCCCUCGGCUUAACCAAGGAAGUGCAUCCGAAACUGCCGUACUUGAGUACUUAAGAGGAUCGCGGAAUUCCCGGUGUAGAGGUGAAAUUCGUAGAUAUCGGGAGGAACACCAGUGGCGAAGGCGGCGAUCUGGGAAGAUACUGACGCUGAGGUGCGAAAGCGUGGGGAGCAAACA
This 207-nucleotide ribosomal RNA is filed under the name uncultured bacterium. Its description in RNAcentral is "partial 16S ribosomal RNA". It matches the Rfam family "Bacterial small subunit ribosomal RNA", at positions 568 to 774 of the family's 1533-position model. The record is from RNAcentral.